RNAcentral lists this ribosomal RNA (253 nucleotides) under uncultured bacterium. Its description in RNAcentral is "partial 16S ribosomal RNA". It matches the Rfam family "Bacterial small subunit ribosomal RNA", at positions 524 to 776 of the family's 1533-position model. The record is from RNAcentral.
UACAGAGGGCUCAAGCGUUGUUCGGAUUCAUUGGGCGUAAAGGGUGCGUAGGUGGCGCGCUAAGUCGGGUGUGAAAUUUCGGAGCUUAACUCCGAAACUGCAUUCGAUACUGGCGUGCUUGAGGACUGGAGAGGAGACUGGAAUUCAUGGUGUAGCAGUGAAAUGCGUAGAGAUCAUGAGGAAGACCAGUGGCGAAGGCGGGUCUCUGGACAGUUCCUGACACUGAGACACGAAGGCCAGGGGAGCAAACGGG